Molecule: small nuclear RNA, 107 nt
Organism: Sinocyclocheilus anshuiensis
Lineage: Eukaryota; Metazoa; Chordata; Actinopteri; Cypriniformes; Cyprinidae
Source: Ensembl
GUGCUCACCACGGCGGCACAUAUACUAAAAUUGGAUCGAUACAGAGAAGAUUAGCAUGGCCCCUGCGAAAGGAUGACAUGCAAAUCUGUGAAGCGCUCCAUCUUUUG